CCUACGGGAGGCAGUAGCCGAGAAUAUUCGGCAAUGGGCGCAAGCCUGACCGAGUGACGCCGCGUGCAAGAUGAAGUCUUUCGGGAUGUAAAUUGCUUUUAAUUGGGAUAAACCCCAUGUAUUUGGGGAUGAUAGUACCAAUUGAAUAAGAGACUGCUAACUACGUGCCAGCAGCCGCGGUAAUACGUAGGUCUCGAGCGUUAUCCGAAUUUAUUGGGCGUAAAGUGUCUUUAGGCGGUUUUGCUUUUCUUUGAUUUAUCAUAGGUAAGUUAGACAGGUUUUCCUGCCUGAUUAGUCCAUUCUCAAAUAUCCUAGCUCAACUGGGAAGAGGGGGUGGAAACGGCAAAACUAGAGGGGGGGUAAGGUUAAUGGAACACAUAGUGUAGGGGUAAAAUCCGUUGAGAUUAUGUGGAACACCAAAGGCGAAGGCAAUUAACUGGCCCCUUUCUGACGCUUUCAGACUAAAGCGUGGGGAGCAAAAA
RNAcentral lists this ribosomal RNA (482 nucleotides) under uncultured prokaryote. RNAcentral describes it as "bacterial SSU rRNA". It matches the Rfam family "Bacterial small subunit ribosomal RNA", at positions 338 to 774 of the family's 1533-position model. The record is from RNAcentral.